UCCACUAUACCAACAGAAAAUCAGAAAUAACGCUCAACCAUAUCUCCACAAAUCCUUCCUCCUAUAAAUUGGAUAUUUCAUUGUAUUCAAAUAUCCGUGUCACAUCAGAAAAAGGAGAACAAUAAAAGGAAAGAAAAAAAAAACACAAAAAAGGGAAAAUGGCAAAAGCUAUUGUUCUCCUCUCUGCCCUUUGCGUUUUGGCCAUUGCUAACUUCGCCGUCGCUGAGCCAGAAGUCUUUGAUGUUGAAGGCAGAGUCUUUUGUGACACAUGCCGUCUUGGUUUCGCCACCUCCCUUAGCGAGGCCAUUCAAGGUAUGAACAAUAAUAAUAAGUGUUCCUUAACCCCUUUUGUUUUUCACAAAGACAACAGAAGCAUUGGUGGCGCAAUAACAAGUUGUUGUCACGUAAUGAUCAGAAGGUGACAACAACUUCUUACAAAAUAACUUAUUCUUUCUUAAUGACAAAAUAACCUCUUACAAAAAAACAGCAUACAAUAUUUGGUGCUGCUUCUUUCUUGGAUCUUGUGCAUGCAUAAGGAAGGCUGAGCUACCUUGCAUGACAGGCAAAUGCCAAUUUAAGAUUUCUUGAACAUGGGUGCACCACUAAAAAAAAUAGGAAAAAAAAAAUAUUAAGUGGGAAUCAAUCUCUAUUCCUUAGGAUAAAUAACCCAAUAUUCAACCAAGUGCACUAUUUAAUGUUUUUGAAGUAUGGGUGCCAAUAGAUAAUAUUAGACUAAUUAUAGAAAAUACGUACAUAAAAUAUCUAGUUUAACAAUGAGAUCAUGGGUUUGCGUGGCUAUGAAACCGCCCCUAAUGAGAGAGGUUCAAUUGAGCCCCUUAGUUGAAAAUUUAUAUCGUGUAAUUAGAAUGCUUUUAGUGUAGCGGAAGAUGAUUACAAAUUGCUUUAGAUCGUAAUUUUGAAACCUAAAUGUGACGUUCAUAUAUUUUUUGAAAUUCCCUUAUUAAAAUUUUUGAGCAGUAAAAGAAUGUAUUAAUGGUGCAGGUGCGACGGUGCGAUUGACAUGCAGAGACAUCGAGACACACAAUGAAACAUACUCAACAGAAGGCAAAACCGACAUGAUUGGCAAAUACACACUAACAGUAGAAGGUGAUCAUGAGAAUGACAUUUGCGAAGUAACAGUGGUGAAUAGCCCAAGAGAGGAUUGCAAGGAAAUAGUUUCUGAGUUGGUUAAAGGCAGAGUUGUGUGCAGUAAAAAUGUUGGAAUGCACAAUGCUGUUCGAUUUACUAACCCACUUUUCUUCCAAAAGGACAAGCCUGUACCUGGCUGCAAAGAGCUCGUUGAGGAGAUGGAGCUUGUUGAUCUCUUGUUACUCGAUGAUUGAGCAAAAUUAAACUUUAAGAGAGAAUAGCUUUUGCCCCUUUCGUCAUUCAUUUUGCAAUAAGAAAAAAGAAAAGAAAAGAAUAAAUUGGAAUAGUGGCUUCUCCUGAAUGUGUACUCCCAUGGAAAAAGAAAAGAAAACUUUUUCCAAGAAGAUGAUCAUGUGGUAGCUUCUUAGAAAAUUUUGUGUUCCAUAAUUUGGUGUUACAAAUUGAUCAUAAUUUUGUGUCAUCAUCUUUUUUAUUUGGCAAUACUUACUAUGUUAUGAGAAGUUUUCUUUAACUUUAAUUAACUUUCUUCCUCAAUUGGAGAAUAAAUUCUCUCAUUCAUUUUGACUAGCAAGAAGUUGUUCAAACAAAUUAAAAGAAUUAUAUAUAUUGAGAAACAUGUAAACAACUCCGGAUCACUAAUUUGUUUUAACAAAUUGCAAUUUUAGAAUAGCAAAUAAAUGGAAAAUUUGAACCUACGACCUCGCUCACAACGGAUUUCGUGGAGUAAGGCGAAAUUAUAUUGAGAGGCUUUUAAAUUUAAUUAUUUUAUAAAAUAUUUAUACUAACAACAAAAUUUGCUUUCUAAACAACAAAUUAAUCAUUUAAGACAAAAAAUAAUAAAUUUCAAAAAUAAAAAGGAAGAGGUCCACAAAUUUUGAUCUGGCUAUCAUCACAAACAAGAAAAAGAAAUAAACGUCCAUAACAUAAUAUCUUAAGUUUUAAGCAUUAGCGGUGUCAAAAAUAUUUACUCCUUCUGAUCAAUCUAAGCAAUAAUUGUAGUUUAUUUUAUUAAGUAGCACUUAUUGGUGAAUAUCUAAAAUAAACUAUAAUAUGUCGAAUUACACUAAAAGAAUACUGGUGCAUGAAUACUUUUGUGUUCAUGCAGUUUCAGAAAAUAUUGUAAAAGAAAUUCAUUAUGUUAUCGAUAUAUAUAACUUAAUUCAUAUAUAAAAAGGAUAAAAUUUAAAUUGAAGAGUGAAGCAAAUAUACUAAUUAAUCGGUGAAGAAACUUAUCAUAAUUUAUAAACUUAUUGGUAUAAAUAACUUCAAUCAAACAACAAAAAAAUAUGCUGUAACACUUUUCUUUAUAGUAAUUAUUUAUAUAAAUUAUAUAAUAUAUAAUAGUAGUAGUAGUAGUAAUAAUAAUAAUAAUAAUAAUAAUAAUAAUAAUAAUAAUAAUAAUAAUUUAAAUAAAUUUGGGGCCUUCAAAUUUUAGGAGCUUAAGGCAACGGCCUCACUACUAGAGCCUUUAGAGCCGCCCAUGUUUGGCACUAAAACCAGCAUGAUCAUAAUCGCUUAAACUGAUAAGUUUAAAAGCUUCUCAAGGACAUUUAUAUUUUAAUGUGUUUGAGUUACAUCUUAUUAAUUAAUGUUAAAAACUCUUUUAGUAUAGUUAAUGAUUAAUUUACUAGUUUGCAACUACUUUAUUUUUAAGUGUAGAAAUUUUAAGACUUGUCAUAUGCAUCAAAGCUAUGCCCUGUUUCAUGCCUUCGUCUGUUGCGUUCUUGAUUUAGUUCAUGCUCUUUUUUAACUAAAUAUUGACAUCACUUAUAAACGUUUUGCGACGGGUCUUUCAUGUACUAAUUUGAUGAAACCUUCUCCAUAUUGGCUUCUCAAAUGAACAAUCAUAUGGAAAGUAAAUCUAUCCCCAUCGAUCUACCAAUUAAUGAACCACCCGAUCUUAGCACUAUGCAAAUUGAUGACUCCUCCACAAAUUCCCAAAAUACUUUCUUCCUACAUAAACUUCUCUCCAGAUCACCUAUUCCUCAUUCUCUACACCAAUCUCAUUAUGUAACAACUGGCCUCGAUCUAAGUGAUGAAAACGACACUAACUAUGACUUGUACAUCUUCGUUCCCUUAUCCUCAAGUGAUAAAACACGACUCUAUCGCCUUCUAAGAAUACCACAAAGGAAUCAAAGAUAUCAUAAAAGAGAAGUAAUCUUACUACCUUGAACUAAGAACUAGUAAAGGUUGAAAGAUAAAUCUAAAAGUACAAGUAACAAAGGUUCAAAAGAACUCUCAAAGUAUGAUAUACUUAAUCAAUAAAUGUUGUCUCAAGUUACUCGUAAAGUGGUCAAGAUCCGAAUCUAUUGUUUUGAUUUGCUUUUUAAGUAAAGGCGUUUGAUUUCUUCCAUAAAUCAAGACGUUGUUACUUUGAUCUUGUCAAGGCUAUAGAACUUACGUUCUUGGAAGUUCUUGGAAUUCUUUCCUUGAAUUCGUCCCAUAUCCUUUAUUUUCGUCUCUUUAAUUCUAGUUGUUCAAUUCCUUGUUGUUAUUGCUUCCACAUUUACUUCUCAAAUUCUUACUCUAAUUUGGAUUCCCGACCUAGUUGUUAUCAAGUGCUAUCCUUGGAAAUACUCAGUCAUUGUUAAAGUAUUUGGGCUCAAAGUAGGACACCAAUUACUUAAGCAGAAAAUAUUUGCACAAUGAAACCAACAGAGGAGGUUCCUUUAAUUGACUUAGGCUCUGAUUUUUUUUUUCCUCAAAUUCCAAAAGGAAGAAAAUAUGUUACAUGCACUACAUGAUGGGCCAUGGUUUAUUUUAAAUCACUUUUUAUCUGUGCGAAGAUGGGAACUGAAAUUCCUUGCAUCUGAGGCACAACUUACAUAUUCUGCCAUAUGGCUUCACCUGCCCCAACUUCCCACAGAAUUCUACGACAUAGAAAUUCUUCAGAAAUUGGGAAACAAUGUGGGUAAGCUACUUAAGAUUGAUGCAUGCACCUCCACCACUACUAGAGGCCGUUAUACAAGAAUCUGUGUAGAAGUGUCGCUUGAUAAGCCUCUAAAAUCUCAUAUUUAUAUUGGAACACAUAAGCAAAUCAUCUUGUAUGAGGGACUUAAUUUGCUUUGCGUUAAUUGUUGUUGCUUGGGCCACAACAAAAAACAAUGCACCCAUCUUAUACAAUUUCCAGUUGCAGACAAAGCUUCCACAAAUACUUCAUUCAACAAUCCCCAAGUUAACCCAACUACAAGCCUCUCUCCAACUAAUGUAGAACAAGAGUGGAAAAUAGUCACAUUCCCACAAAAAUCCAUCUCUAAAAUGCACAUGCACAGACAGGCUCUUGAUGGUGCACCUUCCAGUUCUGCAGGUACGCCGCCAACUCGAUGAUUGCUGCCAACACACGCUCCAGGUAAGUCCCCUAACCCUAAACCACCUUCCAUCCAAACAACUAAGGUAAGUGGAAAAGACAUCCACAUCCCUAAUAAUAUUUCCCAUAAAAAUAUGUUUGAUAUCCUUAAUGAUAAUGGAUCCUCCACUAAUUAGAUAGACGAGCUUACCCAUUUGAGUCAGCUCACUCCUAGUUCUCAAAAGACCUCUCUUAGCCCAAGCCCUACACCAACUAGUAGCCCAAGCCAUGCACAAUUCCUCACUUCUGGCACCACUGACACUUCUAAUACUCUUUCCAUGCAACACGUAAACCACAAUGCCACUAAUCACUCCUUCCAAUCUCCAUCGAAUGACACAUCUUCCUCAAUAGUGACACUUCAUGGGUCUAGUAUAGAGACCCAAAUUCAAGCAUAUUUUCUAAAAUCCAACACCAAUCACAACCCUGCAAAACCCACCCUACACUCAACAGAUCCGCCCCAAUCCAAUCAAACCCAAGCCCAUGCAAAAACCCCACUAAAUACCGACCUCUCUCACCCAAACGCUUCCCAAAGCCCACUCAUAAGCUCACCGCUUAUUACCACCAAUCCAGUAUCCCAGUGUCCUCUUUCAACACCAACUCCCACAGAUAAUUCCAACACGCUAGAUUUUACUCCCCGUCAAAUACAAAAUGCCACGCCUCCCCUUCCAAACUCCAUACAAUCUCACUCCCCACUCGAGACCAUCACUCACUCCAACAACAUCCCACCAAAUUACUCCUCCAUCAUACCACUGUUUUCACUCCCCCAUCCUCCACCAAUGAACCCCAACUCAUGCUUCUUCAUAGCCCAGACUCCACAUGCACCAAACAAUCCAAACUCCUAGUGAGAACUGGGCCUACAGGAUCAUGCACUCAUAUUCACACUGAAAGUGAACAAACAAGAAAUCACCAUACUUCUCAACAAUCUAUCGGACCUUGCUCAGAUAGUGAUGGAAGGUAUGAGCUUGGCGACGAACAUCUUUGGCCAGUACCACUAGUCUAUGAUGCCACACACCGGCUUAACCCCAUACAACCCCUAGCUCCACCAACACCAUACUGGGAAACUACCCAUCAAUUCCCAUACAUGAUCAAUCUUCCUUUAUACCCUCAUACUCCAUUAGUCUCUCCUACACCAAGGAUCCAAACAUAUGUGCUCCCACCACUGCCUCUGCUUCCACCAUCUCCAAUAGGGCCACACGAUCCGCUCACUCAGUCCCCGGAGAACUCCCCCCUCCCCUCCAAACUUUCCCAAUCACAAUACACAAAAUAAAAUUUUCCACCAAGAGAUAGCUCAAGCAAUGAUCAACUUCAGAAAACAAGGCCAAACCCUGUUUGGCUCAGUGGGAUCAAGGUCUUAGUCCUCAAAUAGGAGUACGCAAAAAGGUUCAUUCUCAAUUGCCCUCCAACCAUGCAUUGUUGUUACCUAAGAAUAAGGCCAACCAUAAACCUCGAUGUGGGGAAGUAUGCCCUAGUUAUCACUCCCUCACUCCUACUCCCACUAGCGAACUAGUCCACUACGGAGGUUCCGCCAGCACCACACACCAAUAAUUCCAUGAUGAACUUCAUCGUUUGGAAUUAUAGGGGAGCUCAAUCUCCUAAUGUUCAUCGUAACUUCCGCUUCAUGCUUGAUUACCAUCCUCCAUCCUUGGUCGUGCUAGUAGAAACUCACAUCACUGAUCACCAUCACAUUAGGGAUGAUUUCCAAUUCAUCCAUAUGGCCGAAGUGCCUGCUGUAGGGAACGCAUAAGGUAUAGCUAUAUUUUGGUCCCUGGAUACCUCACAGUUGAUACAAUUGCCAUGACACAACAGGAGGUCCAUUGCAUGAUAAUCCCUCAACAACAGAAAUGGAUGUUCUAUGCUAUUUAUGCUAGCCCACAUGCACACAACUGCACUAUAUUAUGUGAAAACUGGCAUUGUAUUUAUGAUCACUACAAGUGUCCAUGGUUACUAGCGGGAAAUUUCAAUGAAAUUCUUAGUAGCUCAGAGAAAUUUGGUGGUAGGGUUAUUAAUCUCAAUAGAUCAAAUCAAUUCUUAAAUUGUUUAAAUUAUUGUAACCUAAUAGAUCUAGGUUUCAAAGGUAGUCGCUACACUUGGACUAAUAACCACAAAUGUGGCUCCACUAUUCUUGAACGUUUGGAUAGAUGCCUAGCCAAUUUUGAUUGGAAUGUCUUGUUCCCUAAUUCUCUAGUGACUCAUUUGCCUCGAACGCACUCUGACCAUUGCCCCCUUCUUUUAAAUUUACUAGGGAAACCAUCACCAAGCACCAAACCCUUUCGAUUCGAAACAAUUUGGACUUCACAUCCAGAUCUGCGUCCAAUGAUUAAAAAUAUAUGGCAACAACACUUACACCUACUGCCUUCCAUAAAAUGCUUUCAACAUACGACUUCUUAUUGGAAUCGUUAUACUUUUGGUAAUAUUUUUAAAAGAAAGCAAAAACUCCUCGUGGCAUCUCAGACAGGGUCACGUUCAUGUUCUACUUGUGGCCGCACUCAUCGUGGCGAGUGUUGGGGUACAUCUCAAAGUUGCUACACUUGUAGAGAGGUUGGUCACAUUACGAGGUUUUGCCCUCGAGAUAGUGGUACUGGUCAGACAGGCACGCAACAACAGGGUACUAAGAGAUAGAAGAAAGAAGAUCUAUCUCGAUUCUAUCUCUAUCUUUCGACAUCUCAUCUCAGAGAAUCAGGCUUUUCCCCUUCCGUAAGCGCAUAUAGGGAAGUGGGCCCUCGGCUAUUGAGAGGACUCAUAUUGUCUUUCUUUUAUUUACUGGAGUUUCUUGUUCCCGCGCCCCUAGCUUUAAUCACCCUCGUGAAGAGGCGUACUCCGAUACCAUUGAUGUCCAAUAGCUUUAAUAGUAAUGGCUGGAUCUACUACUACCUCGUAACCGAAACAAGAGCUUGAACAAGAGUUGCUGUCGAUAUUGGCAACAUUUUUAGGGAGCUCUUUGGGAGCGAAAUGACUGCAUAGCAGCCUGCGGAAAAAGCUCUAGAGCCCCUACUCCUAAGUUGGAGCAAGAAGCAAGGGAUUGAGCGCAUCUUUCCCCUUUCUAUUAGUAGUAAGGUGGCUACAACGGAGCAGCUUACUCCUGAGAUAGAUUUACCGAUUAAACUAGAUUUACCCGCCUUUUUCACCCAAGCGGAUUUCCCCGUGCUACCGAGUUUUGAGAAGACUACGGAUCCAUUCAACGAUCUUUUUGACGCUCGUUUAACGGGCCUCCAGUCCUCCUUACACUACUCAACUAGUACAUUCUUGCAAAAUCUAGAACGAGAUCUUAUACAAGAAUAUAAUUUUGUUCUCCAACUUGAAGAGGAUUUAUGAAAAUUGAAAUCUCGUAUCAAUUGGCUAAAUGAAGGAGACGCCAAUACAAAGUUCUUCCACCAAUCAACUUUAAAUCGUUGCAGACGUAAUCGUAUUAGUGCUAUCCAAAAUCAAGCGGGUAAUUGGUUCUACGAUAUCCCCACUAUCAAAUCUACCUUCAUUAAUUUUCUUUUCCACUCUAUUCACUACUAAAUCUACCCUCUCUUUUAAAUCACUUCUUUUUUAUCAAUACAACGUCUUACCUUCCCAUGAAGCAUCCCUCUUAGACAGGCGACUUGAAGACCUUGAAAUAACUCAAGCAAUACACUCCUUUAAGGGGCCCCUUAAAGUGCGGAGGGAGGAUUUCUACACGCAACAUCGUGGUUGGGCAUUCCUCCUUCUUUUAAAAGAAGACUAGAGGAUGAAAGAAGAAGCUCUUAUAUUAGAUAAAGCCUAAUUCUACUGUCCUUUGAAGAUUGGAAGAUAGUAAAAGCCAACUUCCUUUUUAAAGAUCACUCAACGAUGUGGCAAAUCCCCUUUUUUAAGUCUAUAAAUUGGAAGCAGGAAAAUGGUCUCCGCCCCUACUUUUAUCAAGAAUACUGGUAUGAGAUUUCACACUCAGUCAUCACUUUUUGUAAAAAGGUUUUUUCACAAGGAUGCAUCCCUGAGGAAAUCAAUAAUACCUACCUAUGUCUUAUUCCUAAACAACGCCAUGCAGCAAAAGUUACUCAUUUUAGGCCCAUUAUCCUUUGCAACACUAUCUACAGAAUUAUUACCAAAAUUAUUGUAAACCAUAUCAAGCCCUAUUUAUCUAAGAUAAUAGGUUUAACUCAAGCUAGUUUUUUAAAAAGGCAUAAGGCCGUUGAUAAUGCAACCAUAGAUCAGGAAAUCGUGAACAAAUUCCAAAGAAUGAAUGGCCGAAUCCCCCAUAUACUUCUUAAAUUGGAUCUCGAAAAGGCUUUCGAUAGGUUAGAAUGGUGAUUCAUAUGUCACACACUUAUUUUAAUUUUCCACCAGCUCUCAUAUCUCUCUUCAUGUCUUGCGUCUCCACUUCUUCAAUUUCCAUCCUAUUCAGUGGCAUGCCAACACACUAUUUCUUACCCACUAGAGGUAUAAGGCAAGGUGAUCCUCUCUCACUAUACCUUUUUAUAUUAUGCAUGGAAAUGCUCACUCGCUCCAUAGAAAGAGCAGUUGAUUAUAAUCAGUAGUCACCCAUCACUCUUUCCCGGUCACGUCCCCGCAUUUCUCAUCUACUCUUUACGGACGACAUUAUCCUCACUUCAAAACUAACAACGACCUCCUGUCACUCCAUUAUUGACACUCUCAUAUACUUCACCAACUUAGCUAAACAAAAGAUAAAUUUUCACAAGUCAAAGAUCUUUUUUUCAAAAAAUUGUUCACCUUCUCACAAAGAAUUUGUCCUAAGCUCUUUCAACAUGUCCGAGGGAAAAUCUUUUGGUAGGUACCUAGGUUUUCCCAUUUUCCUCAAAAGACCUAUGCAAAGAGAUUUUCAAUUCUUUCUCGACAACUUCAAAUUAAGGCUUGCCGAUUGGAAGACUCAUUGCCUUACUAUGGCAGGUAGAGCCACCCUUAUCAAAUCUACCCUCAACUCUCUCUCUAACUAUACCAUGUAAUAUAUCUCCAUACCACAAAAUAUCAUCACAUUGUUGGAUAGAUAUAAAAAAUGUUUCUUUUGGGGCUCAACAUCCCAAAAACAGAAACUACAUCUGAUUAAAUGGGAGAUCGUUACAUUACCAAAAUCCCAAGGAGGUCUUGGAAUACAAAACAUCUCGCCCUACUAGCCAACUUAGUACGAAGGCUUUUUAAACAUCCGUCAUCUUUUUGGGCAUCUAUACUAGUCACAACGUACAUUACCUCUAAAAUAUCCUUCUUCAUUUGGAAAAGAACAUCCAACAAGGAUGGCACCAUUGUCAAUUAGGAUCUAAAUGGAUAGUCUCAUCUGACAACCAUAUCAAAUUUUUGACUGACAGUUGGAUUGAUCACAACACUCUCCUUAGAUCCUUAAUUGAAGGUCCCCUACCACUCCUAGAAUCCCAACGCCCAAUUAGCUCCUACAUCCGCAAUUACAACUGGGACCUUGCUAAACUACCUUUUAAUCUUUCCCAGGAAAUACUUCUUAAAUUACUUAGUAUUUACUUAUCCCAAUACCCCAAUCACCAUGUACUCUCAUCUGGAACCUCACAUUUUCAGGACAAUUUACUGUCUAGUCAUGUUAUUACGCAGUAACACCAACUACCCCUUCUAUAAACUAUGCUUGGGCUUGGAAACUGCCCACACCACCGAAAAUCAGAUACUUUCUUUGGCUAUGUAGCCAUCAUAGGCUCCCUACAAAUGCCUACUUAGCUCGCCUUAAUAUUAUCAACAACAACCUUUAUAAUUACUGUUCCACGGCUGAGGAGACUAUACAUCAUAUCUUCUUCGAGUGCUCUGCCUCAAGACCAUUAUGGGCUCACCUAGGACUUCUUCAUCAUAUAAACACCCUUCAACAUCUGAGCACUUCACUAAUUGAGCGAAUCAAGUUUUUAAUCAAAAAUUAUAAUCACCAUAUCCCCUAUAGCAUUCCUCCGUCAACCCUAAUUCUUUAUUAUCUAUGGGGUAUAUGGAUCCAACGCAACCAAAAUCUAUUCCACCCAACAACAAUCUACUCCUGCUUACUAUUUACAAAUCAUUAAAAAAAGCCGUGGAAUUCCACUUCCUCACAUUGCAACCACACAGGAACACAAAACUAACACCUCUCUACAUCAAAUGGAAACCACCCAACCACAACCACUACAAAUUAAACAUUGAUGGAGCAACUAAGUCCCGGGGGUUAAAUGGAAUAGGAUGGGUCAUACGAUCCUCUGAAGGGAACUAACUUUUAGGAUACUCUAAAUGAUAAUAGGCUAGAUUCAUGUAAUUUGGCGACUGUGUACGCCCCAGCUUGACUAUAUUUCAUUGUUAUAAGAUAGUUAAAUGAUGUUAAAUUGGCUCUAAUUGUGAAUUUCAUGUUUUGCAGGAGUGAGUGGCAUGUAUGAGGACUUAAAACUGUAAUUGGAGCUAAAUGGAAGCAAGAGAAGCCCCUAAGAGCUGAUUACGUAGGAAAACAAGAGAAAAAAGAGUUGAAAUGAAGACCCAGACUAGCGCGGCCACUAGCACGACUGCGUUAGCCCAGGAAUUCGAGGCAAAAUGGUAGGCCAUAUGUGUGGUCAUUAGCGCGUCUACUAGCGCGACUGCGCUAGCCCAGUUCUGGAAAAAUAAACUUCAGGGGUAAACUUGGAAGUUCGGGGGUAAAUCCACUUAACCUAUAGAAAGUCCAGCUCGCCCAUGGGAGGAUUAUAAAGGUUUUCAUAGCUUAGUUCAAGGCAAGGAGAGGCAAAAGGCAAGGGGGAUAAUUCAACAUCGAUUUCUUCCUUUAUCCUUUUUGUGUUUUACUAUUUGUGAUGAAUUUGACUAGUGUUAUGAUGAACACUAGUAUGAGUAGCUAUAUAUUUAGUCUAAUGUUUUGAUGGAACCUAUUGAAGGAUGAACUUCUUGUUAUGUUAAUAUAGUUUGCCCAGUUUAAUCUCUAUUUGUUCAACUAUGUUUUUAUUGUAGUUAAUUGAUAGGAUCCUCAAUUACUUGUGUCUAUUUAGUGUGCAAAACUGGGGAGAGAGUGCAUAUUUAGGUAAUUAUUGAACAACACCACUCCCGAAGUAUAUGAGGGAUCAAUAACCGAGGGUUUAAAGGCGGGAUUAGGGAUAACAAAGCCUUGGGUGCAAUCUAAAGUGAGCUGUAAUAAACAAAGCCAGCUAGCAUAACUCGGGAGAAUGCGUUUAGUAAAUUGUCGUGAUUACUCGGGAGAGAUUUACGGUAAUAAGAGUGCUCAUGAUUGAUAGAGACGAUUAGGCAAAUCUAUGUAAAACAUAACUGGAAGGGAUUCCAUCAAUAGGGAAAAUCAUAACCUGAGAUAUUUCUCUUAAUUGUUUACAACUUAAUCAUAGUUAGUCUUCAGUUGCUUAUUUUCAGUCAGUCUUAGUUAGUAGAAACAUCCUCAAUUGUUAUUCAGAAUGUUUGGGAAGUUGAUUACGUAGAAUUUCAUUAGUCUAACAAGAGUAAUUGAUAGGUUAAUUCCUUGUGGGUUUGACUCUGGGCGAAAUAUUCAGAUUAUAUUUGCAACGCCCGCGUGUCCUUUUUAUAAGGCAUAGUUGGGCGUGAUCACUAAACAUAAAGAGUUUGGAAAUAACAUACAAAUGGAGCUAACUGCUUUGCUUUACGGCUUGCGCUUGUCUUUACAGCAUGGUUACUUCCCAAUGGAGAUUAAUAUAGAUGCCAAAGAGGUAAUCACUUUAAUCCAUUCCAACAAUCCUCACUAUACUAACUUGAUCAAUGAUUGCAGGUUGCUGCUCAGGCAACAUGAUGACCCACUUCAUCAGCAUACAAAUAGGGAGGCAAAUAUGGUAGCUGAUGGUUUAGCAAAACAUGGUACUCAAUUAUCAUGCAGCAACGGCCUACAACUUUUUUAUACACCACCACCUUUUGUCUACCAACACUUCCACGAAGGUAAAACAUGGGAAGAGAGACGGAGAUUUAUCAACUCUUGCAUUUUUGUUAUCCUCCCUAUCCCCCCUAAUGUAAAUUCAUGCACAACUAUGAUCUCCGCUCUCCCCUCCGGUAACAAUCCGGCUAGUUUUUGUAAUGAUCCUUCCAUGGAUCCUAGUAGUGAAGUAGCUCGUAGUUUUUGUACUGGUCCGCUUCUGGAUUAUAGGUCAAUAGUAACUACUCAUGUAUCAUCAGUCCCCACAAAUGCCACGAGCACCUUGCCCUAUGUAUAUUAUGCAACGUAGAAAUGAAGUUAGUAAUCUUUUAUGACCCAAAAAAGUAAGAUUUCUAUAUGUAUUUUAGGAUUUCGUUCAUUUCCAAUGAAUCGUCUAUUAAAUUAUGUCAAUUGAUGUUUGAUAAAAGAAUGAAAAGAACUUUCCUAAUUACUUGAGAAGAAAAUUCUUUUUUCUUUAAAAAGGUAGGAAGUAAAAGUGUUUUUGCUUUGCAGUAUCAACCUGCAAAAUGUGAUAAUUGUCACAUCUUCUUUUUACCACCCGAGGAGGUAUAUAAGGAAAUUUUUUCAAUUAAAGUGAUAUUAAUCGAAAUGAGAUUAUUUAUUUAUUUUCAGAGUCGUCACUUAGAAUAAUUUAUGUUGUCCCAAGUCACCGAUUUAUUUUAAAUCCCAAAUCGAGGAAAUUUGACUCUGUUUUACAGUCUGCGAACAUAAAAGACCGGGUAAGGAAUUCUAUUAACCCGGGAGAAGGUGUUAGGCAUUCCCGGAUUCCGUGGUUUUAGCACGGUCGCUCAACUAUUAAUAAUUGGCCUAAUUAUCUAAUUUAUUACAUGUUUUAAACCUAUUGUGCAUUUUUAACUUUAUAACUGCUUUUAUUUAUUUAUGGAAUUAUUUCUAGAACAAGUUACGAUUGUCGUACACUUGUUUGUUUUGGAACACAUUGCAAAUCACGCUACAUGAAAUGCACCCGUGAUUUACAACAUGUUCAUUUUUAUUAUCGUUCAAAGUUGUGGUCGGGUCACAUGAAAUGUACACCCGGAUUUGGGAAUUAUGUAUCACAACUACGCCACAGGAACCGUACCCAUAGUCGCGAUAGUUACUUAAUCACGCCUAAAGCAUUUCUACGAAUAUUUGAUUAAGGCUUAAUUUAGAAGUGUACCUAAAGUUGUGAUUAUGUCUCUAGGCUAAAUACCCUAUGUCAUGUAACUAGGUAUAAAGGUUCAAUACUAUAUGAGAUAUUUAUUUAAUUUAAUUGGGAAGCUUAUGGAUUACAUGGAAAUGGAAUAAUCCUAAAAUGGAUCAAUAAAAUGUCAUUAUGGAAAUGGGCCUGGCACAAUUCAGCUUAUAGGCCCAAAAUUUCUUUCUCUUCAAGAUUAAACCCAUAACCAAUGUAAAGAAAUGAGCAAUUUGCAUAUUAAAUCACAAACCUGGUCCACUCAAGUCUACCAAGUUAGAGACAAAUUCCUUAUUAAACAUAUAAUACUACUAACAAAACUCAAAACUGUCCCCAUUAAUUUUAAAUUGAAAACACAUAAGCACUUACGACAUGAAAUCAAACUCAUUUCAAAACUAAAAAUAUGCCCAAGUUAUAUCAUUUGAAUCUAAGCAUACUUACGCUAAGAAGGUUACAUACUAACUUUAGUAAUUAAUGUAAACAAACGCUCAAAACAUCAAAUCAAAUAAAUAAAUAAAACAGGGAACAUUCAACUAAAAUAUAGAAACAAAAACAGAAAAUUAGGCAAAAAAAUAAUUAGAGCAAAUAUAUUAGUGGGAUCUAAGAUGGAAAUGGACCUUGUGAUGCAAAUCGUAUAGCAACAGAGAAAAGGGCCGGCUCUGAGUUGACGACUAGAAUUGAACAGAGAAUCACGAACGGAAAACCUCGCAUCGGCCACCUCUAACGCCGACCUCCCGAACGGGAUCUCGCCGGCGACUUCCCCAUGGAUUCUACCAUUUUUAGCGUGAAGAAGGGGCUGUUUUGGAGCUGAUUUUCAGAGCAGUUUUUUUAGCUUCAUUUCGAGAAAAUUUAAGCUGCAUUUUUUGCUCAAUUUUGUGAUUGCUUUUCAGCUCGUUUUGGGUGAGGUUUGGAGCUGAAAUGAGAUGGUUCGGAGGUGCUUUUCGGGUCAUUUUUUAGCAGCUUUUGGACCUGUUUUGCAGGUAAUUUUUGCUGCUUUUCUGAGAUGCCUUUGUUGCGUUCUUGAGUUGGUUUUUAGUCAAAAUAGGGGCUAUUCGGGUGAGGUUUUUGCGUGAUUUUUUGGCUAGUUUCGGGCUAAGGGAGGUUGUUUAUGGAGGAGGAAGAAGGCAGCAACAGCUGCUGCAUUUUUUGCCUCAAACAUCUGCAAUAUUUCUUUCAAAUGCUGCUGAAAAUCGUGGGUUUUGAGAAUGGAUGAAGCUUUUGUAAUUGGGGGUGAGUGGAUGUGUUUUUUGUUUCUUAGCUUAAGAAUUUUUGGAGUUUGGAAAGGUGAUGGUGCCGUUUUCUUCAAGAGAGGGGUCUUCCCUUCUCCUCUGAUUUUUUUUUCUUUUAGGUUAAGGGAACUCCUUUUUAUAAGAAAUAUUAGGGAUUAGGUUUUAAUGAGGGGAAGGGUUAAUGGGCCAGGUUUUGGGUAUGGUAUUGGGUUGGGCUAGUUUAGAGCAAAUUAGAUUUUGGCUUCGAAUUAAGCUGGUCCAGAUGAAAUUAGAAGACCAAAUCUACUUCUUUGCUUUUUUCUUUGUUUUUCUUUUGAUUUUAAAUUCUAACAAAUUAAUUCCUAAACUAAAACCUAACAUAACUCUUAUUAGCAAAUUUAAUUCUAUUUAUCUAUUAACAAAUGCAUGUAAAAUAUAAAAAAUAUUUUGUUUGAUUUUUAUUUAUUAAUUCUAAUAAUUAAAGAGUGACUAAUUUCUAAAAAUGCAAAUUAAACCUAAUAUGGCAUGAAAUUAAAAUGUGAUAAUUUUUUAUAAUUUUUCUAUGAUUUUAAGAUAUUAAACAUGCAUGAAAUGCAACUAAAUAAAGAAAAACUCCUACAAUCCACUAAAAUUAUUUUUGGUCUAUUUGUAGGAGUUAUUUCUAUACGAGGCAAAAAUUAGGUGCUCACAGCUGCCCCUUUUUACUGGAAAACAUGAAGAGUUUUCGAGCAAAGAUAAAGUGAGCAAUUACGAGCGAUUGUUGCCCGUUUAGAUACUCCAUGGGAAGCAUUUUUGAACACGUUUGACCGAACCUUGCUUCAGAGGUUGCCUACAUAUCCUUGGCUUUAAAGGAAUCAGGCCGGUGUAGUUCUGGAAGAAUGAUGGAGUGAUGAGUUCGAGAGUCGAGCGAGGUUCCGUCGAGGCUCCGGUUUGUAGUCCUGUUAUUACAUCAAAAUCAAAGUUAAAAAGACUAACUAAGCUUAUGAGCUACGAGUUACAAGAUUCCUAUCUAUGAGUCUUCUGAAGCUUGAUCUUGAGUAUUGGUUGGUUCUUCAUGCAGACUCUGAUCUGAAUCUUGAUGCUUGUUAGCUGCAAGUUCUCAUUCUUCUUCAACUUCUCGGAUCAAGGCGAGACAUGCAAUCUUGUGACUUCAAUCAUGUCUUGAGCAGUCUACAUCUUUUAUCCGCUUCUGCACUUCGAGUUCCCUUCUUUUUUUUCUUUUAUUCUGGAUUGAGAUUCAUUCUUUUGGUCGUCUCGAACCCUGUGCCUUGAGGUAAAAANNNNNNNNNNNNNNNNNNNNNNNNNNNNNNNNNNNNNNNNNNNNNNNNNNNNNNNNNNNNNNNNNNNNNNNNNNNNNNNNNNNNNNNNNNNNNNNNNNNNNNNNNNNNNNNNNNNNNNNNNNNNNNNNNNNNNNNNNNNNNNNNNNNNNNNNNNNNNNNNNNNNNNNNNNNNNNNNNNNNNNNNNNNNNNNNNNNNNNNNNNNNNNNNNNNNNNNNNNNNNNNNNNNNNNNNNNNNNNNNNNNNNNNNNNNNNNNNNNNNNNNNNNNNNNNNNNNNNNNNNNNNNNNNNNNNNNNNNNNNNNNNNNNNNNNNNNNNNNNNNNNNNNNNNNNNNNNNNNNNNNNNNNNNNNNNNNNNNNNNNNNNNNNNNNNNNNNNNNNNNNNNNNNNNNNNNNNNNNNNNNNNNNNNNNNNNNNNNNNNNNNNNNNNNNNNNNNNNNNNNNNNNNNNNNNNNNNNNNNNNNNNNNNNNNNNNNNNNNNNNNNNNNNNNNNNNNNNNNNNNNNNNNNNNNNNNNNNNNNNNNNNNNNNNNNNNNNNNNNNNNNNNNNNNNNNNNNNNNNNNNNNNNNNNNNNNNNNNNNNNNNNNNNNNNNNNNNNNNNNNNNNNNNNNNNNNNNNNNNNNNNNNNNNNNNNNNNNNNNNNNNNNNNNNNNNNNNNNNNNNNNNNNNNNNNNNNNNNNNNNNNNNNNNNNNNNAGUUAUGUCGGGGAGGUCCACGGGUUAUGCCGGGAAAGUCAUCGGGUUAUAUUGGAAAAGGUCCACGGGUUAUGCCAGGAAAGUCAUCGGGUUAUGCCGGAAAGGUCCACGGGUUAUGCUGGGAAAGUCAUCGGGUUAUGCCGGAAAAGGUCCUCGGGUUAUGCCAGAGAGGUCAUCGGGUUAUGCCGAAAAAGGUCCUCGGGUUAUGCCGGAGAGGUCAUCAGGUUAUGCCAAAAAGGUCCUCGGGUUAUGCCGGGGAGGUCCACAGGUUAUGCCGGGAAAGGCAUCGGGUUAUGCUAGAAAAUGUCCACGGGUUAUGACGGGAAAGUAAUCGGGUUAUGCCGGAAAGGUCCUCGGGUUAUGCCGGGGAAGGUCAUCGGGUUAUGCCAGGAAGGUCCUCGGGUUUAUGCCGGGAAUAACUAGAGAAUGGGACCCUAUGUUGGAAAGAUUACCAGGUUAUGCUGGCAUCGACUAGGGAAUGGGACCCAAUGAUGGAAAGAUUAACAGGCUAUGCUGGCAUCGACUAAGGAAUGGGAAGCUAUGUUGGAAAAGACGUAGCUAGAGAUUGGAGACCCUAUGCUACCAUGAUUUUGAAUUAUUCUUCUUCUUUCUUUUCAUUUCAUUUUUUUAUAUUUAAGAAUAUGAGUAAAAGUGCAGGAAAGAAUUUGGAGGAGACUUCCUUUUUGGGUUGUUGUUGCAAAGCUGUUUCUAGCCCUUGUGCAGUUUAUUUUGGUUGCACCUGCUUCUUAGAAGGUUGCUUUGGAUUGCACCUAUUUUAUGUUUUCAAACAAAGAACAAUUGUUAGUUUAAAAUGGUGGUUGGUUUUGUGGCCUUGAUUGUUUCAAUCACUUGAUCUCGGCCCGUCUUCUUUGAUGAAGAUCUCAACUGCAACUGCUUAUUCCCUGAGGACCGAUUUCAUUUCUGACGCUGGAGAAACUCUGGCUUUUCCACACUUUACCAUGAUUAUUGGGCGGUGGGACUCACCCUUUUCGACUUUAUUUUUGCCUUUAUAGGCCUUUCCCUUCAGACGUGUUUAUUUUUUAUGACUUCGAAGCAUUGGAGAACUUUUGGCUCCUCAAACUUUGUCGCAACGGCUAGUCGCAUGGGACUUAACCUUUUCCAACUUUAUUUCGCUUUUAUAGGCUUUUCAUUUCUAGCUUCUUUCUUCCAACUUCAAUUUCAGAGCAUUUGGGAUCCCUUGGCUUUUUAAAUCUUUGCCGAGAUGGUUAGCCACGUGGGACUUGACCUUUUCAAUUUCAUUUGCCUUUAUAGGCACUUCAAUUUGAUUUUCUCCUUCCAAGAGUUUUGAUUUCGAAACAUCGGCCGUCAUGGCCAGUCGAGGUUGACUUAUGCCCCUGACGAGGCUGGUGCCCUUUUGCAUAUUAGCUUGUAUCAAAUGAGAACCCUGUAAAUCGGUCUUACCAUCCUUUCUUUGUCUUAGUUUCGGAACAGAGUUAGGCCAAAAGGGAUUCAAAGAAAACAAACAAUGGAAUGGAGAAUGAGUUUAAAAAAAAGUGUCUCUUUCGGGGAAAGGAAAAAAGGACUUAUCUAGAGUACAUGCGGACUUCAAUGAACAUGACAUGCCUUUUGGACUGGAUGUCUGAUCUGUGUAAACCGUCCGACUCUCAGAAAUUCAUCAUAACCUUUGCCUCAAAAUCGAGAAACCUUUCCAUAACUUUGUCGAUGCCGAUGGCUGUGAGGAUCCUCUUUUCGAUCAGGGGCACCCUUUGCGGGUUUUCCCGAACUGACCUCUCUCAUUUCUCUUCUCACCAUCGCCUUAUAGUGCUCUUUGCGAGUUUUCAUCAACAAUACUCUCUCAUUUUCAAUUUCUCUGCUUACUAUCGCCUUACGGUGCCAGUGUGGGUUUUCACCAAUAAGACUCUCUUAUUUUAUUUUCUCUCAUUUUGAUUGCAUCGGGUCCAAGUAGCUGCAUUCUACGAUCCUUGAACAUUCUUAUUGAUUGAUCGGAAGGACUUGAACAGGAUUUGGGGUAAAAAGAAUUUGGAUUGAAUUACAACUUUGGAACCUUUCAGGCGAAACCAUCGCCGAACCAUUGUAACAUAUGCCCCAAUUUCACUUUUGGGGAAUUUAGAUUUUUAUUUUGGUGUGACUGAACUCCAGAGAGAGACUGCCUAUGUAUCCUUUCGGAAUCAAGUCAAACGUAGUUUAGGGAACUUUGUUUUUUUAUUUUCUUUUGUUUUUCUAUUUUGUUUGUUUUCCCUUUCUUUUUCCUUCCCUUUUCCUCUCUUUUUUUUUCAUUUUUCAUUUCAUUUUCUUUGUUGUUUCUUCCCUUUUUUGUAUCUUUCUUUUCUUCUCUUUUUUUCAUUUCUUUUUCUUUUUGCCCUUUUCUUCCUUUUUUUUGUAUUUUUCUUUUUCGUCUCUUUUUAUUUUUUAAUAACACUUUCAGGUUCCAAAGAGGGUAAUCAAAGAAGAGUAACCGGCUCAAAUGGUUUAUAAAAGGGUUAAUGGUGUUUGGGUAGCGAGAACGAAAGUCUUUGUUAUCCCAAUCGGAGAAUAUUAAUACUAUAUGGAGGAUCAAACAUAGUACCUUUUUGGCUGCAUUUGCAUUGACAGUUGUUUUGGGGAUAUUUCUUUCGAUGUGUCCCAGGUACAAUGCUCUCUUUGGCAGUACUCUUGUUAGUUACUAUGUAGGGAUCUUUCUAAUCUGGAGCCAAUUUUCUUUUAGCUAUUCCAACUAUUUGUUUUAUUUCCUUUAAACUUAUCUUCAUUGCAAUAUAAUUCUGAUUCAUUAUUUCGAGGUCUGACAGCGUUUCAGGAUCUGGGCAUGAAGUCCGCAAGUAUUCAUGUUAUUGAAAUCUGCAUUUAACAGAACUGAAAAGAAAAUAAGAAAAGUGACAAGAUUAAGAAGAGAAACAUUCCUGGACAAUGAAAUAUUAAUUUCAUUUUUUUUGAUGAUUUUUUUUUUGGAUUUUUGAAUUUUAAAGAUAUGAGGGCUUACAUCGAAAAGUAAGACAAUAAAGUAAAACAUCCGGAUCACACCUUGAGACAAUCCGAAUACAGAAAAGAUAGCAAGACCGGCUACCGAGACUCUUGUCUGAUGGGGAACUUUCAGGCUUGACGACCGUCUUUUGGCUUUUCUUCUGUUUCGGCAAUGGCUGCAAUAGCCUUCAGUACCGGAUCAAAUUCCUCAUUUUCACAAAUCAUUUCGAUUAUUGGCCCAGUGUUAUGGGCAGGCAACAGAUUGUUCAUCACAUCAGGAGUUUUUUCAUCCCAAAUAAUAAUUCUUUCAGCUUCAAUCAAAUAUUCAACUGCCCUUUUGAGGGUCCAACAGUCCUCUGUAAUGUGUCCCACUACUCCGGAGAGGUAUUCACAUCUAGCAUCAGCUCGGUGCGAUGGGGACUCGGGGUUCGGCCAGUUCGGGGCCACUGGAUGCAAUAGAUUUUGCCUGAUUAGCCUUUAGAGCAAGCUUGAAUACGAUUCACCAAUAGGGGUGAACUGAUUCUUUCUGAAAGGCUCUCUUGGGCGAGGAUUGUAUUGAGUAUCAUUUGGUUGGGGAUUAUAUGGAGCUUGGUAAGGAUGGGCAUUUCUGGGAGGUGGAGCUCGGUUUUGUGUAUAAUAUUGUGGUCGAGAGUAAGGUUGCGCGUUCAUCACCGCAUAGGGAGGCGGUGUCACGGCAUAGGCAUCAUCUUGAAGGGGAUAAUAGUGUGGUGGGACCAUAAGAGGUGCAUAUGAUUGGCUGAAUGACCUGCUGGUCCCCCUCGAGCUUGAAGCCAUCAUGGCUCCCUCUUCACUCCCAUCGUUGUUCGUCAAACCCUCUGAACCAUUCUUAGCAGCCUGUAAUGUGGCCUUAAAAGCAACAUGACUCAAGAUUCGACCUGUUUUUAAACCGUUUUCAACCAUUUCCCCAAUUUUGAUAGCCUCAGCAAACGGCUUUCCCAUAGCGGACAUCAUGUUCUGGAAGUAGUCCGCCUCUUGGUCCUGUAGAAAGACAGUGACCAUUUCAAUUUUGUUCAUUAGAGGCUUUGUCCUGGCAGCUUUCUCACACCAUUUGACAGCAUAUUCGCGGAAGCUUUCCGCGGUUUUCUUUUUCAAAUUGGACAAAGAGUUUCUGUCGGGAGCUAUGUCCAUAUUAUACUGGAACUGGCGGAUAAAAUCUCGAGCCAUAUUGUCCCACACGUGCCAAUGAGUAAUUUCUUGUUCCGUAUACCACUCAAAAGCAAUUCCGGUGAGGUUUUGCCCAAAAUAGGCCAUUCUUACUCCUCUUGCUCCACCGAGAGAUCAUAUUGUGGAGGUUGAGUAAAAGAGUAUGAGGUCACAUAUGCUAUUUCUGACUGAACCUGUGGACCCAGAAAGGUGAACAUUGGAGGCUCAACAUAUGGUCGUGGUAAAGUUGGUUGUGCUCUGGUGCAGACUGGUGCUGUAGAGAACAAUAUUGGAGGUGCCCUAGAAAUUGACGCCUAGGGGCGAACCACAGAAGGCAUGCUAGGAACAUUGGACGGCAUUGGAGGGUGCCCGCAUGAGAUGAGCGGGUUGGGUGCAGGGGCGUUGGUAACCUCACCUGACCUGGGAUCAACUUAGGGAACCCAGAGAUUGCACUUGGCGGUUCCCUACCAUUAGACCAGGAAUCCCACAUUUCAAAUAUGCGGAGACACAACAUCUUAUUCUCUUUAGCAGCUGCUGAUUCUAGCUGUAGAAUAGCCGAUGCCAGGCUAUCCUCAGGACCGAUGAUUGGUAGAUCGCUUGCGGAGGCCAUCUAUGCCUUUGGAUCUUAUAAAGGAGGGGAGGCUAGACUACUAACAAAAUCAACCACCAAAACUUGGCCUGUUUGCACACCCAACAACCUUUUUAGUUUUGAGACAUUUAACAUAUAGAAAAUCGCACGUUGGGAUGCAAUGCACCUAAUAGUUUAACGCUGCUACCAUGUGUUUGAACGGUUGCAUGUUUCAUCCCGGCCUUACCUAACACUUUCAGUAUGUACCUCUUUUCUUCAUUUCUGCCUCUCUUUAAUCACUCUUGAUUUUUUUCAUUUUGUUUUUGUCGCUCUUUUAUUUUUUUGGCACUCUCUUUUUCUCUUUUUGUUUGUCACUUUUUUAUUUAUUGUCGCUCUUUUUUUCUCUCUUUUUUUUCACUCUUUUCUUUUCUUUUAUUUUUUCACUCAAUUUUUCUUUAUUUUUUUUAGUUUAUUUUCACUCAAUUAAUUUUACGGCUAUAAUCGAAUCCGAUGGAGAUUGCCUACAUAUCAUGACGCCGCAUGAAUCAGAUCUUGCGUAGUUCGGGAAGAUCAAGAAUGGAGUAAAUAAAUUAACUCUUUUUUUAUAACACUCAGACCAUGAAAGCUUUGAGGCAAAAGAAAAACAUUUUUUUUUUCAAAAUUUUCGAAUGAAAUGCUUUAAAAGAAGAAAGGAAAUAUUUUUUUGCAUUUUUUGAUUUUGACUCUUUUUAUUUUAUUUUUUGAAAGAAAGAGUUCUGAAAAUUCCUUUUCUUUUGAUUUGAACUUUGGAAAUUUCAAAAGUAAAAGGAAAAUAUUUUCGUUUGAAUUUUUAUUUGUUUUCUCUUUUUCUAAAGAAAAAAGAAAAUAUUUUUGGAUUUUGGAUGUUGCCUCUUAAUUUUUGAAAGAGGGAUUUUUUAAGAAAAAUAAUUUGGAUUUUUGAGUUUUUUUUUUGUUUUUCAAUUUACCAAAGUACUUCUAAAGAAAAACGAAAAUAUUUUUGGACUUAAAGUUUUCAAAUUGUUUUUGACAUUUACGAAAGAAAGACUUUUAAACAAGAAAAAGAAUUAUUUUUUUCGUAUUCUCUCUUCUUCUUUUUUUUGAAUUUUUGGAAAAAAUACUUCAAAAUAAAGGAAACCCAUAUUUUGGAUUUUGAUAUUUUAUUGAUUUUUUUUAUUUCUUUUUCAGUAUGAAAGACUUCAGAAAGAAGGAAACUAUUUUUUGAGUUUAAAAAAUAUAUAUAUAUUUUUAAAUUUUCUAAGGAAAUGCUUCUAAGGAAGGAAUUAAAGGAAAAUUUGCCGGAACCGAUGAGGUUUGCCUACGUAUCUCACAUCCGGUGAGAAUCAGACCCACAUAGUUCGGUCAGUUUUGACGGAACAGGGAAACAUGACACUUGAAGACUUUGGUCUCGUUUUGAAAUGACCUUGUCCUUUUCUUUUUCCCUUAUUUUCCAAAAUUUCGGCAGAGUUUCGGAAAUUUUCAAAUACCCACCUCUCACUCUUGUUUUUGAUUUUUGAUCUUUUUUUAUUUUAUUUUCUUUCCCUAUUCUAGAAGCCGGUCAACAUGCAAGCCGAAACAAACAGAUGCGCAAGUAGCACGUAAGAUGCAUCAGGAUGGCCUUUUUAAUUUGGGUACACCUGUCCUAGACGAACCCGACCCCUGUGUUGAGUCCCCAAAGUCAAAUGCACGUGAUGCAAAUAAACGUUCCUACUAGGGCUCCGGCAUGAGGCUAUGUUAUUCUAGGUUUAAAAACCUACGUGUAUUGUUCUAGACCUGGCUUACCCGAGCGGACAGCUCGAGCCGAGGGGGAGGGGGGCAGCGUACCGGGAAUACAAAAGCUUCACCGGCUUUGCAACUUGUCCGAAUCUCGUUCUAAAAUUGGGAUAUGACUCUAACAGAAAAGAAGUCACACGAAGGUGUUAGGCAUUCUCGAAUUUCGUGGUUUUAGCACGGUCGCUCAACUAUUAAUAAUUGGCCAAAUUAUCUGAUUUAUUAUAUGUUUUAAACCUAUUGUGCAUUUUUAACUUUAUAACCACUUUUAUUUAUUUAUGAAAUUAUUUCUAGAACAAGUUACGAUUGUCAUACACUUAUUUGUUUUGGAACACAUUGCAAAUCACGCUACAUGAAAUGCACCCAUGAUUUACAAUGUGUUCAUUUUUAUUAUUGUUUGAAGUUGUGGUCGGGUCACAUGAAAUGUGCACACGGAUUUGGGAAAUAUAUAUCACAACUACGUCACGGGAACCGUACCCAUAGUCACAAUAGUUAAUAAAUCACGCCUAAAACAUUUUUACGAAUAUUUGAUUAAGGCGUAAUUUCGAAGUGUACCUAAAGUUGUGAUUAUGUCUCUAGGCUAAAUACCUCAUAUCAUGUAACUAGGUAUAAAGGUUCAAUAUUAUAUGAGAUAUUUAUUUAAUUUAAUUGGGCAGCUUAUGCAUUACAUGGAAAUGAGCUAACCCUAAAAUGGAUCAAUAAAAUGUCAUUAUGGAAAUGGGCCUCGCACAAUUCAGCUUAUAGGCCCAAAAUUUCUUUCUCUUCAAAAUUAAAUCCAUAACCAAUGUAAAGAAAUGAGCAAUUUGCAUAUUAAAUCACAAACCUGGUCCACUCCAAUCUAUCAAGUUAGAGACAAAUUCCUUAUUAAACAUAUAAUACUACUAACAAAACUCAGAACUGUCCACAUUAAUUUUAAAUUGAAAACACAUAAGCACUUACAACAUGAAAUCAAACCCAUUUCAAAACCAAAAAUACGCCCAAGUUAUAGCAUUUGAAUCUAAGCAUACUUACACUAAGAAGGUUACAUACUAACUUUAGUAAUUAAUGUAAACGAAGGAUCAAAACAUCAAAUCAAAUAAAUAAAUAAAAUAGAGAAUAUUCAACUAAAAUAUAGAAACAAAAACAGAAAAUUAGGCAAAAAAAACAAACAAUUAGAACAAAUAUAUUAUUGGGAUCUAAGAUGGAAAUGGACCUUGUGAUGCAAAUUGUAUAGCAACAGAGAAAAGGACCGGCUCUGAGCCGACGACUAGAAUUGAACAAAGAAUCACGAAUGGAAAACCUCGAAUCGGCCACCUCUAACACCGACCUAUCGAACGGGAUCUUGUCGGCGACUUCGCCAUGGAUUCUACCAUUUUUAGCGUGAAGAAAGGACUGUUUUGGAGCUGAUUUUCAGAGCAGUUUUUAGCUUCGUUUCGAGAAAAUUUAAGCUACAUUUUUGGCUCAAUUUUGUGACUGCUUUUCAGUUUGGGUGAGGUUUGGAGCUGAAAUGAGAUGGUUCGGAGGUACUUUUCGAGUCAUUUUUGAGCAGCUGUUGGACCUGUUUUGCAGCUGAUUUUCGUUGCUUUUCUGAGAUGCUUUUGUUGCGUUCGUGAGCUGAUUUUCUGGUGGAAACAGGGGUUGUUCGGGUGAGGUUCGGGCUAAGGGAGGUUGUUUAUGGAGGAGGAAGAAGGCAGCAGCAGCUGCUGCAUUUUUGGUCUCAAACAAUUGCGAUUUUUCUUUCAAAUGCUGCUGAAAAUCAUGGAUUUUGAGAAUGGAUGAAGCUUUUGUAAUUGGGGGUGAGUGGCUGUAUUUUUUGUUUCUUAGCUUUAAGAAUUUUUGGAGUUUGGAAAGGUGAUGGUGCGUUUUCUUCAAGAGAGGGGUCCUCCCUUCUCCUAUGAUUUUUUUUCUUUUAGGUUAAAAGAUCUCCUCUUUAUAAGAAAAAUUAGGGAUUAGGUUUUAAUGAGGGGAAUGGUUAAUGGGCCAGGUUUUGGGCAUGGUAUUGGGUUGAGCUAGUUUAGAGCAAAUUAAAUUUUGGGCUUCGAAUUAAACUGGCCCGGAUGAAAUUAGAAGACCAAAUCUACUUCUUUGCUUUUUUCUUUGUUUUUCUUUUGAUUUUAAAUUCUAACAAAUUAAUUCCUAAACUAAAACCUAACUUAACUCUUAUUAGCAAAAUUAAUUCUAUUUAUCUAUUAACAAAUGCAUGUAAAAUCUAAAAAAAUAUUUUAUUUGAUUUUUAUGUAUUAAUUCUAACAAUUAAAGAGUGACUAAUUACUAAAAAUGCAAAUUAAACCUAAUAUGGUAUGAAAUUAAAAUAUGAUAAUUUUUUUUAUAAUUUUUCUAUGAUUUUAAGAUAUUAAACAUGCAUGAAAUGCAACUAAAUAAAGAAAAACUCCUAAAAUCCACUAUAAUUAUUUUUGAUCUAUUUUUAGGAAUUAUUUUUAUACUGACAAAAAUUAGGUGCUCACAAUAAUUAUAGAGGAGAUGCAUAUCAAUGUCCGUUUUGCAUGCGUUAUAUACAAAUUUAUUGGUCCUCAUUUCCAAAUAGACGAUUUUUUUUUAUUAAUUUUUUUAUCAAAACGAUAGAAUAUUUUAUUCAUUGGCCGACAAAGCAAAGGAGGUACCAAUUUGAAAACGGAAAAGGGCCA
RNAcentral lists this long non-coding RNA (25696 nucleotides) under Nicotiana tabacum (common tobacco). Its description in RNAcentral is "long non-coding RNA (NTAB_LNC005193)". The record is from RNAcentral. Lineage: Eukaryota; Viridiplantae; Streptophyta; Magnoliopsida; Solanales; Solanaceae.